RNAcentral lists this ribosomal RNA (738 nucleotides) under uncultured bacterium. RNAcentral describes it as "bacterial SSU rRNA". It matches the Rfam family "Bacterial small subunit ribosomal RNA", at positions 28 to 759 of the family's 1533-position model. The record is from RNAcentral.
AUUGAACGCUGGCGGCAUGCCUUACACAUGCAAGUCGAACGGCAGCACGGGAGCUUGCUCCCGGUGGCGAGUGGCGAACGGGUGAGUAAUACAUCGGAACGUGCCCUGAAGUGGGGGAUAACGUAGCGAAAGUUACGCUAAUACCGCAUAUUCUGUGAGCAGGAAAGCAGGGGUUCGUAAGACCUUGUGCUUUAGGAGUGGCCGAUGUCGGAUUAGCUAGUUGGUGGGGUAAAGGCCUACCAAGGCGACGAUCCGUAGCGGGUCUGAGAGGAUGAUCCGCCACACUGGAACUGAGACACGGUCCAGACUCCUACGGGAGGCAGCAGUGGGGAAUUUUGGACAAUGGGCGCAAGCCUGAUCCAGCCAUGCCGCGUGAGUGAAGAAGGCCUUCGGGUUGUAAAGCUCUUUCGGCGGGGAAGAAAUUGCGUGGGUUAAUACCCUGCGUAGAUGACGGUACCCGCAUAAGAAGCACCGGCUAACUACGUGCCAGCAGUCGCGGUAAUACGUAGGGUGCGAGCGUUAAUCGGAAUUACUGGGCGUAAAGCGUGCGCAGGCGGUUAUAUAAGUCAGAUGUGAAAUCCCCGGGUUCAACCUGGGAAUUGCAUUUGAGACUGUAUGACUAGAGUGUGGCAGAGGGGGGUGGAAUUCCACGUGUAGCAGUGAAAUGCGUAGAGAUGUGGAGGAACACCGAUGGCGAAGGCAGCCCCCUGGGCCAAUACUGACGCUCAUGCACGAAAG